RNAcentral lists this microRNA precursor (204 nucleotides) under Oryza punctata. RNAcentral's name for it is "MIR812 microRNA precursor family". It matches the Rfam family "MIR812 microRNA precursor family". Lineage: Eukaryota; Viridiplantae; Streptophyta; Magnoliopsida; Poales; Poaceae. The record is from Rfam by way of RNAcentral.
AAAAACUGUAGUUUUAAGUUUUUAUUUUCAACGUUUGAUUAUCUGUCUUGUUUAAAAUUUUUUAUAAUUAAUAUUUUUAUUGUUAUUAGAUGAUAAAAUAUGAACAGUACUUUACAAUAACUAUUUUUUAAAAUUUUUAUAAGUUUUUUUAAAUAAUACGGACGGUCAAAAAUAUUGAACAGGAAACACACCACUAUCCUCAAA